CCCUUUGCAGGAAUAAGAGGAAAAAGUGGAUAAUUAAGGAUUAUGACAGAGGACAGCCAGGUUUGUGAUGGUGAGUAUUUUUUAAUAUUAUAAAGAUUAGCCAGGUUCUUCCCUUUGCAGGAAUAAGAGGAAAAAGUGGAUAAUUAACGAUUAUGACACAGGACAGCCAGGUUUGUGAUGGUGAGUAUUUUUUAAUAUUAUACAGAUUAUCCAGGUUCUUCCCUUUGCAGGAAUAAGAGAAAAAAGUGGAUAAUUAACGAUUAUGACACAGGACAGCCAGGUUUGUGAUGGUGAGUAUUUUUUAAUAUUAUACAGAUUAUCCAGGUUCUUCCCUUUGCAGGAAUAAGAGGAAAAAGUGGAUAAUUAAGGAUUAUGACACAGGACAGCCAGGUUUGUGAUGGUGAGUAUUUUUAAAUAUUAUAUAGAUGAUCCAGGUUCUUCCCUUUGCAGGAAUAAGAGGAAAAAGUGGAUAAUUAAGGAUUAUGACAGAGGACAGCCAGGUUUGUGAUGGUGAGUAUUUUUUAAUAUUAUAUAGAUGAGCCAGGUUCUUCCCUUUGCAGGAAUAAGAGGAAAAAGUGGAUAAUUAAGGAUUAUGACAGAGGACAGCCAGGUUUGUGAUGGUGAGUAUUUUUAAAUAUUAUACAGAUUAUCCAGGUUCUUCCCUUUGCAGAAAUAAGAGGAAAAAGUGGAUAAUUAACGAUUAUGACACAGGACAGCCAGGUUUGUGAUGGUGAGUAUUUUUUAAUAUUAUACAGAUUAUCCAGGUUCUUCCCUUUGCAGGAAUAAGAGAAAAAAGUGGAUAAUUAACGAUUAUGACACAGGACAGCCAGGUUUGUGAUGGUGAGUAUUUUUUAAUAUUAUAUAGAUGAGCCAGGUUCUUCCCUUUGCAGGAAUAAGAGGAAAAAGUGGAUAAUUAAGGAUUAUGACAGAGGACAGCCAGGUUUGUGAUGGUGAGUAUUUUUAAAUAUUAUAUAGAUGAGCCAGGUUCUUCCCUUUGCAGAAAUAAGAGGAAAAAGUGGAUAAUUAACGAUUAUGACACAGGACAGCCAGGUUUGUGAGGGUGAGUAUUUUUAAAUAUUAUAUAGAUGAGCCAGGUUCUUCCCUUUGCAGGAAUAAGAGGAAAAAGUGGAUAAUUAACGAUUAUGACACAGGACAGCCAGGUUUGUGAGGGUGAGUAUUUUUAAAUAUUAUAUAGAUGAGCCAGGUUCUUCCCUUUGCAGAAAUAAGAGGAAAAAGUGGAUAAUUAACGAUUAUGACACAGGACAGCCAGGUUUGUGAGGGUGAGUAUUUUUAAAUAUUAUAUAGAUGAGCCAGGUUCUUCCCUUUGCAGAAAUAAGAGGAAAAAGUGGAUAAUUAACGAUUAUGACACAGGACAGCCAGGUUUGUGAGGGUGAGUAUUUUUAAAUAUUAUAUAGAUGAGCCAGGUUCUUCCCUUUGCAGAAAUAAGAGGAAAAAGUGGAUAAUUAACGAUUAUGACACAGGACAGCCAGGUUUGUGAGGGUGAGUAUUUUUAAAUAUUAUAUAGAUGAGCCAGGUUCUUCCCUUUGCAGGAAUAAGAGGAAAAAGUGGAUAAUUAAGGAUUAUGACAGAGGACAGCCAGGUUUGUGAUGGUGAGUAUUUUUUAAUAUUAUAUAGAUGAGCCAGGUUCUUCCCUUUGCAGGAAUAAGAGGAAAAAGUGGAUAAUUAAGGAUUAUGACACAGGACAGCCAGGUUUGUGAUGGUGAGUAUUUUUUAAUAUUAUAAAGAUUAGCCAGGUUCUUCCCUUUGCAGGAAUAAGAGGAAAAAGUGGAUAAUUAAGGAUUAUGACACAGGACAGCCAGGUUUGUGAUGGUGAGUAUUUUUUAAUAUUAUAUAGAUGAGCCAGGUUCUUCCCUUUGCAGGAAUAAGAGGAAAAAUUGGGUAAUUAAGGAUUAUGAUACAGGACAGCCAGGUUUGUUAUGGUGAGUAUUUUUUAAUAUUAUAAAGAUGAGCCAGGUUCUUCCCUUUGCAGGAAUAAGAAGAAAAAGUGGAUAAUUAAGGAUUAUGACACAGGACAGCCAGGUUUGUGAUGGUGAGUAUUUUUUAAAUAUUAUACAGAUUAUCCAGGUUCUUCCCAUUGCAGAAAUAAGAGGAAAAAGUGGAUAAUUAAGGAUUAUGACAGAGGACAGCCAGGUUUGUGAUGGUGAGUAUUUUUUAAUAUUAUACAGAUUAUCCAGGUUCUUCCCUUUGCAGGAAUAAGAGGAAAAAGUGGAUAAUUAAGGAUUAUGACACAGGACAGCCAGGUUUGUGAUGGUGAGUAUUUUUUAAUAUUAUACAGAUUAUCCAGGUUCUUCCCUUUGCAGGAAUAAGAGGAAAAAGUGGAUAAUUAACAAUUAUGACACAGGACAGCCAGGUUUGUGAUGGUG
Pantherophis guttatus is the source of this 2384-nucleotide non-coding RNA. Lineage: Eukaryota; Metazoa; Chordata; Lepidosauria; Squamata; Colubridae. The record is from RefSeq and is a predicted model, not a curated record.